RNAcentral lists this unclassified non-coding RNA (2736 nucleotides) under Acanthaster planci (crown-of-thorns starfish). RNAcentral's name for it is "uncharacterized LOC110987413, transcript variant X1". Lineage: Eukaryota; Metazoa; Echinodermata; Asteroidea; Valvatida; Acanthasteridae. The record is from RNAcentral.
CACCCCACAGACAUGAAAAAAAACUUAUCGGGCGACUUUGGCAAUGGUGCCGUGUACGUGUUUAAUGCAGAAUUUUGCUGUCGGGUGCCAGCGCGAACAGUUCUAAGAGCAAACAUAGACACAGUUUGACUAAGAACACAUUUUUGUCGGGAAGAAGAGAGGCCAACUGAACUUCUAGAUAACCGAAUGAUCAGUCUAUUUGGCUGGAAUGGAACAUCGAAGUUAGAACGGUAAUUCAGUGUAUGUUGAACGGCUGUAACAACUCAGUGAUCUGAAACUCCAAAGACGAGCUGAAAUACCUAGAAGUUAUGUUUUCCCGAGCGGUAAGUGACAUCAAUUGGUCAGCUGAGUCCUACAGCACCAGGGAUUUGAUGUCGAAGUAUCCUGCCCCACUCUUAGUCCGGGUCACUCAGGGUCAUUGUGGGUUGGAGGAUGUAGACUCGCUUGGUCAAGGACAGGUGAUUCGAAUUCAUCAGUGGCUGAAACAGCAAAGAGUUAUUGCAAUAGAUUCGAGAGGGCGCCCCCUUAGCAUUCCUCUAGACUUCAACAUCCCAUUUGAAGUUCUCCCAGACAGGAAACGGUCACUGUUCAAACGGAAAACAAUGUUCUUGGUUGACAUCAUUCGCCAGUACCCUCUUCCCAAGAAGGUUCGUUUCUCUUCUAGUCAUCUGACAUUAAGCGACGCUUUAGAAGGAGCUCGUCUUGGUAUCCGGAUGACCCUGGAAGCCCUGGAACUAAUCCGUAUCCAGGAGGAAGUCUAUCUCCGUGGUAACGCCGUCAAUUUUGGUGACUUGGACCCAUCUAUAUUGAGCAUUCCUGUGCACCAUGAUCUGGAGAUGUCACUAGCUCUUGGUUUAAGGAGCAGUGAAAGAGACUGGCAUCGACUCAUGAGAGAGCUUGACAAUGUGGUGGCUAAGAAAGUACGGUUUCCUGCUGUGCAAGGAAAUAACAAAAUCACCAUUUGUAGCUCAGAAGUGGACGAUGAAAACAGCCAUAAAUUGACAAGGAAGAAUCCUGUAGUACAAAGACGACAACAGUCUCUUGGCCGGACUUACGGAACACUUCGUAAAAAAACUGCUGAAAAGGAGCAUAAGCAACGUCCUUACGAUGUGUCAGAGAAGAUGGGGUCAUUGGUCCCAAAUGGGAUGUCUACGUCUGAUGUCAGGGGUACCAACCGGCGGUUCGUUAAGCGGAACGAAGCUAGAAGGAAACAAGGCAUCGACCGAACCGACACGGUUUCAAUCUCAGGCACCUCAACUUCGGCAACCAGUGUAUCGGAAUCUGUCACAGAUGAUAUGAGCAGCGUCUUCCCAUCAUCAAACAGUGAAGUAUCCAACAUGGAGGGCGAAUUUGAUGACGACAUCAGUGACAUCACAACUGAAGAUGACAUAGUAGAUGUAUACACACCGACCCCCUUUUUCGGUUCCGUGUCAACACUUUCAAAAGGUUUAUUCCGGCCUGAAUAUUGGAGUGGCCGUUACAUGGACGAUAGUUAUCACGCCCAUCACGCCAAAAGAGGGAGCAACAAUAAAUCGGGACAUGGCAGAAGGCUUAGCACAGCGACCAGCUUCAGCAUGAAUGACAUUAAUAUUAUCUUAGGAGGUCUUGACGGCAAACGAGACAAGAACGUGACAUCCCAUCAGCGAGAUCCACCCGAUGGUCGGUCGCUGCAUAGCGGCCGAGAUAUCGAUGACGACGCGAACGAGUCAACGGACUUGUAAAACAAAAACAAACUCAUCCGAUGCAAAAUAAGUUUAUCAAACUGUAUAUCUUGGCACCUGAGGAACUAAGAUAACCUGGAAGACUGCUGUCUCAUAUAUGUUUAAUAUUCAGGUACAAAUAGUCGUAGAUAAUUUCAAAGAGCUUUCAAAAUCAUCAGAACUAUGAGCCAGUGUAAAUAAACACUGAUGGAGAAUGUUACGUUGUUGGCACAUCUGAGAUAUUUAUCAUUAAGAACACCUUCUCAGACAUCUAGACGCAAAUGUUAGCACAAGCCAUGUGAUUUGAGUUCAUGAUUUCAAAGAAUCGUCAACUUUUGGAAAUUCAAGUAUUUAAGAGGGGGAUGUUCUGUUGGUUUUGCACUAGAUACCGUGCCCAAGCACUGUUUUACUCUCUUUUUUUAUUUUGUUUGGACAAGCAGACUUGUCCAAACAAAACUUGUCCAUAUUUAUGUUAUAUUAUUCUCGUUCACUUUUUCGAAUGAAACGUAUUUUUUAACUUUUGAAUUGUACAAAUGAAAUAAUAUGGAUUUUUAGCAAAUCAUAUUCUUGCACUGUAUAUUGCCAGGUAUAUUUUUGAUACAAAAAUGUUACCUUUGAAUGUUGUUGUUUAAAUAUUGAAACCUCCUAUAAAAGAUUCUUCUUUCAUGGAUAACAGAAGCUUCCAUGUAUAACUGUACUAGUGACAUUUAUAUAUAUAUAAAUAUAAAAAUUGUAAUUCGUGCCUAUAUUGUAAGACUGCCUGCGAGUUAAAUAUAAAUACAAAAAAGAGCAGCCAUCAGGAACGUUUUCGGGGGCACAACUUUUUUUCAGCUGAGCAUAAGAGGUCGUAGCGUUCGAAAGAAACCCCUUAUAACAGUACAAUGGUACAUACCGGCAUUGUUUUGCAAAAAGUGGUUAGUUAAAAAUGUGGAAACUCAGAUUUAAGUUCUGCUUUACUCCAGUGAUGGAGUUUUAGAGUUAUGGGCAAAAAGGCUGAGCAACAAUAAAAUUGCAGCUUGUGUCAUUGCCAAGCAUU